This 460-nucleotide ribosomal RNA is filed under the name uncultured bacterium. RNAcentral's name for it is "partial 16S ribosomal RNA". It matches the Rfam family "Bacterial small subunit ribosomal RNA", at positions 338 to 795 of the family's 1533-position model. The record is from RNAcentral.
CCUACGGGGGGCAGCAGUGAGGAAUAUUGGUCAAUGGCCGGAAGGCUGAACCAGCCAUGCCGCGUGAAGGUCAGUGCCCUAUGGGCGUUAAACUUCUUUUGUGCGGGAGCAAUAAUGGUCACGUGUGGCCAGACGAGAGUACCGUACGAAUAAGCAUCGGCUAACUCCGUGCCAGCAGCCGCGGUAAUACGGGGGAUGCAAGCGUUAUCCGGAUUUAUUGGGUUUAAAGGGUGCGUAGGCUGUGAGGUAAGUCAGCGGUGAAAUGCCCCCGCUCAACGGGGUGAAGUGCCAUUGAUACUGCCUGGCUGGAAGGCGGAUGCUGUGGGAGGAAUGUGUGGUGUAGCGGUGAAAUGCAUAGAUAUCACACAGAACACCGAUUGCGAAGGCAUCUCACGAAUCCGCGAUUGACGCUGAUGCACGAAAGCGUGGGUAUCAAACAGGAUUAGAUACCCUUGUAGUC